Molecule: ribosomal RNA, 581 nt
Filed under: Meyerozyma guilliermondii
Lineage: Eukaryota; Fungi; Ascomycota; Pichiomycetes; Serinales; Debaryomycetaceae
Description: eukaryotic LSU rRNA
Rfam family: Eukaryotic large subunit ribosomal RNA
Source: RNAcentral
AUUGCCUUAGUAGCGGCGAGUGAGCGGCAAAAGCUCAAAUUUGAAAUCUGGCGCCUUCGGUGUCCGAGUUGUAAUUUGAAGAUUGUAACCUUGGGGUUGGCUCUUGUCUAUGUUUCUUGGAACAGGACGUCACAGAGGGUGAGAAUCCCGUGCGAUGAGAUGCCCAAUUCUAUGUAAGGUGCUUUCGAAGAGUCGAGUUGUUUGGGAAUGCAGCUCUAAGUGGGUGGUAAAUUCCAUCUAAAGCUAAAUAUUGGCGAGAGACCGAUAGCGAACAAGUACAGUGAUGGAAAGAUGAAAAGAACUUUGAAAAGAGAGUGAAAAAGUACGUGAAAUUGUUGAAAGGGAAGGGUUUGAGAUCAGACUCGAUAUUUUGUGAGCCUUGCCUUCGUGGCGGGGUGACCCGCAGCUUAUCGGGCCAGCAUCGGUUUGGGCGGUAGGAUAAUGGCGUAGGAAUGUGACUUUACUUCGGUGAAGUGUUAUAGCCUGCGUUGAUGCUGCCUGCCUAGACCGAGGACUGCGAUUUUAUCAAGGAUGCUGGCAUAAUGAUCCCAAACCGCCCGUCUUGAACCACGGGACCAAAA